Molecule: transfer RNA, 73 nt
Filed under: Candidatus Pacearchaeota archaeon
Lineage: Archaea; Nanobdellati
Description: tRNA-Thr
Rfam family: tRNA
About the family: Transfer RNA (tRNA) molecules are approximately 80 nucleotides in length.
Source: RNAcentral
GCCUCUGUAGCUCAGUGGUUAGAGCAUCUGCCUUGUAAGCAGAGGGUCGCAGGUUCGAAUCCUGCCAGGGGCU